RNAcentral lists this ribosomal RNA (522 nucleotides) under uncultured bacterium. RNAcentral describes it as "bacterial SSU rRNA". It matches the Rfam family "Bacterial small subunit ribosomal RNA", at positions 777 to 1297 of the family's 1533-position model. The record is from RNAcentral.
AAUAGAUACCCGGGUAGUCCACGCCGUAAACGAUGAGUGCUAAGUGUUAGAGGGUUUCCGCCCUUUAGUGCUGCAGCUAACGCAUUAAGCACUCCGCCUGGGGAGUACGGCCGCAAGGCUGAAACUCAAAGGAAUUGACGGGGGCCCGCACAAGCGGUGGAGCAUGUGGUUUAAUUCGAAGCAACGCGAAGAACCUUACCAGGUCUUGACAUCCUCUGCCAACCCUAGAGAUAGGGCGUUCCCCUUCGGGGGACAGAGUGACAGGUGGUGCAUGGUUGUCGUCAGCUCGUGUCGUGAGAUGUUGGGUUAAGUCCCGCAACGAGCGCAACCCUUGAUCUUAGUUGCCAGCAUUCAGUUGGGCACUCUAAGGUGACUGCCGGUGACAAACCGGAGGAAGGUGGGGAUGACGUCAAAUCAUCAUGCCCCUUAUGACCUGGGCUACACACGUGCUACAAUGGAUGGUACAAAGAGCUGCGAACCCGUGAGGGUAAGCGAAUCUCAUAAAGCCAUUCUCAGUUCGGA